GCUGGGUUAGCUCAGUUGGUUAGAACAUGGUGCUAAUAACACCAAGGUCACAGGUUCAAUCCCUGCUCACUGCA
This 74-nucleotide transfer RNA is filed under the name Pelecanus crispus (Dalmatian pelican). It matches the Rfam family "tRNA". From Rfam's summary of the family: Transfer RNA (tRNA) molecules are approximately 80 nucleotides in length. Their secondary structure includes four short double-helical elements and three loops (D, anti-codon, and T loops). Further hydrogen bonds mediate the characteristic L-shaped molecular structure. tRNAs have two regions of fundamental functional importance: the anti-codon, which is responsible for specific mRNA codon recognition, and the 3' end, to which the tRNAs corresponding amino acid is attached (by aminoacyl-tRNA synthetases). tRNAs cope with the degeneracy of the genetic code in two manners: having more than one tRNA (with a specific anti-codon) for a particular amino acid; and 'wobble' base-pairing, i.e. permitting non-standard base-pairing at the 3rd anti-codon position. Lineage: Eukaryota; Metazoa; Chordata; Aves; Pelecaniformes; Pelecanidae. The record is from Rfam by way of RNAcentral.